ACGGGUGAGUAAUACAUCGGAACGUGCCCAGUAGUGGGGGAUAGCCCGGCGAAAGCCGGAUUAAUACCGCAUACGACCUACGGGUGAAAGCGGGGGAUCGCAAGACCUCGCGCUAUUGGAGCGGCCGAUGUCAGAUUAGCUAGUUGGUGGGGUAAAAGCCUACCAAGGCGACGAUCUGUAGCUGGUCUGAGAGGACGACCAGCCACACUGGGACUGAGACACGGCCCAGACUCCUACGGGAGGCAGCAGUGGGGAAUUUUGGACAAUGGGCGCAAGCCUGAUCCAGCCAUGCCGCGUGUGGGAAGAAGGCCUUCGGGUUGUAAACCACUUUUGUCAGGGAAGAAACGGUCUGAUCUAAUAAAUUGGACUAAUGACGGUACCUGAAGAAUAAGCACCGGCUAACUACGUGCCAGCAGCCGCGGUAAUACGUAGGGUGCAAGCGUUAAUCGGAAUUACUGGGCGUAAAGCGUGCGCAGGCGGCUAUGCAAGACAGAUGUGAAAUCCCCGGGCUCAACCUGGGAACUGCAUUUGUGACUGCAUGGCUAGAGUACGGUAGAGGGGGAUGGAAUUCCGCGUGUAGCA
Molecule: ribosomal RNA, 582 nt
Filed under: proteobacterium StTD686
Lineage: Bacteria; Pseudomonadati; Pseudomonadota
Also listed under: 1 other name
Description: bacterial SSU rRNA
Rfam family: Bacterial small subunit ribosomal RNA
Source: RNAcentral